CCCAGUUGGAGACCGAAGCGAUUGGGUGUCUAAAGAGGGGGGAUCGAUCUGUGGAGGAAAUCAUUUCGCGUCGGAGAGGGAGAGAAGGAAACCCUAGGUAGCCCAGCCGCCGUCCUCGAAUUUGUGCUCGUCCAGAUCUGCUUGGUUGGUGGUGGCAUGGCGAUGCGCACGAUGGCCGCGAACCUGAAGCAGAAGCUCCCCGUCGCCGUCCAGCGGGUGUUCGCGUCUUCUCGGGCUCCGGCAACCUCCAACAAUACUGCUGCCGCCAUCGACAGCCUUGAUCCAGAAUUACGCCGCCGGGUGCUCAACGAUGUUGAUAAGCUCAUCAGGAGGAACCGCAGGAACGACCUCUUGGUCGCUGGUGCUGGCUUAAGUUUUGGAGGGAUUGUCAUGUCAUAUUUGGCUCAUCGACUCACCAGUCGAAGUGAUGACUGGCUCACCAAGUGAAAUGAUGAAUGUAAAUCUAUCCUGCACUGCAAGUUUAACUGUCUAUCCUGCACUGCAUCUUUAACUGGCCAGUUGUAUGAUUCCUGGCUUGUCUUGUGUGAGAGCACUCUAUAUAUGAUGAGGGUUCUAUGUUCGGUGGAAUCUACUUGUGAUGAGAGAUCUAAGUUCUGUGAUGGCAUGUGAGAUGUAAGAGCACUCAUAUAUUUAUGUGGAUCCUAUAUAUAACCGGGUGAUUUAUCUAUUGUGUUCUGCAA
Molecule: long non-coding RNA, 701 nt
Organism: Triticum aestivum (bread wheat)
Lineage: Eukaryota; Viridiplantae; Streptophyta; Magnoliopsida; Poales; Poaceae
Exons: 3
Source: RefSeq, a predicted model, not a curated record